Molecule: long non-coding RNA, 2376 nt
Organism: Astatotilapia calliptera (eastern happy)
Lineage: Eukaryota; Metazoa; Chordata; Actinopteri; Cichliformes; Cichlidae
Source: Ensembl
GGAUUUGUAAGAUUACCAGAAGCCACUGGGCUUUCUGAUCUUCAUUUAAUAGUCAAUAAAAUAAAAUUGAUUUAUGAGAGGGGGAAAUGUAUUAGCUACGCCCCAAAUGUAUAAAUCUAUCUUAUAAUUUAUGUUCAAAUCUUAAAUCUGUCCAUUAACUCUUGGAAAUGAAGGAUUACACAUUUAAAUGCCUUGUCUGUGUCUACAGUUGUGGUCAGAGUUUUACAUCCACUGAUCACAGAUAUGAAUGUCAUUAUAAUUUGGGGCUUUUAAUAAUCUCUUUCGAAUGAUUUCAUUUUCCAGGGUGGAAUUAUUGUACAGCAUAUAUUUUAGUGACUUUAUAAAUUAAGAAUUGGGUGGACAAAUUUGAAUUUAUUUUGGAUUUUCUUUAAUCCACAUAGUGUUAAAAAAUAUACAUACAAAUAUGUACAUACACUCAUUUAAAUCUUAAUAAGUGCUGCUAAAGGUGCUUCAGUGUUGCUUAACUUGACAAGGCCAGGGUUUAUUGCUUUCUCAUUAGUAGUUUCUCUUAAAAAUUAUUUGUUUGACAGCACUCAUUGGAUCGACUAACAAUCAGAACAAUGAAAGCCCAAGACUGUCAGGAUCUAAGAAAUAGAACUGAACAUUUACACAAGUUGGAAAGGUGUCUUCAAACAACUAUAUGUAAAUACAAGUUAUUCACAUGUGUCACCACUGCCAAGGUGUAUACCAGGGGUGGGUGCCUCAAGGGUCAGUGUCCUGCAUGUUUUAGAUGUGUCCUUGAUCCAACACAGCUGAUUUAAAUGACUAAAUGACCUCCUCAAUGUGUCCUGAAGUUCUCCAGAGGCUGGGUGAGAUCUAAAACCUGCAGUACACUCCAGGCCUUGAGGGCCUGGAGUGUACCCCUGGUCUAAACUCUUGCGCUCAGAUGAAAGAAAAUUGGGUAGGAUGUUCAGGGACAAUCUAGGAACCACCAAGGCUCAAGCCUGCUGUGAGAUGGAAACUGCUUUAACAUCAGUGCGACUGUCCACAGUAAAGCCAGUUUUAUAUGGCCAUGAACUGCAAGGGUGCUGACCAAAAAGGAAGUCUCUCUUUCAAAAUUGAGAGGUUCAAACUCAACUGAAAUUUUCAGAUGCCCACAUGAACAAGCAAAAUGCCUUAUGGAGAAAGGUUUUAUGGUCAGACAAGACAAAAAUUAAGCUAUUUAGCCAUAGCGACGAGAUAUGUUUGGAUGAGUAAACGUGAGGCUUUCACACCUAAGACCAGUGUACCAGCUAUCAAGCAUGGUGGUGGUAGCAUCACGCUCUGGGCUGUUUUGCUGUAAAGGUACAUCGCACAAAGUGGAGAGAAUAAUGACAAGCAGGAUUAACUUAAAAUUUAUCAACGUCACCUCAAAUUAACAGCUAGAUAGUUGAAACUUGAGACCAAACACAAAUCAAAACUGAUUUUGGCAAGCAUGCUAACUUUAAUCUUCUGGAAUGGCCUUCCCAAAGCUCCGACCUUGUGGUCUACACUUAAAAGCCAGAUCUGUUGAAGAAAACCAACGAAUUUAAAAGACCACUACCAAUUCUGCCAAGACAUUUAGUCAAAUAUGCAGCUAGGAUUAUAUAAGAAACUGGUAGAGGGCUACCAAAAGUGUCUGGUCACGGUGCAGUUUGCAGACAUUUAGCCAGAUCCUAGUGGGGUGUAUGUAUACUUUUGACCCUGUGGAUUAGAGAAAAUCCAAAGGAAAUUCAAACUUGUUCACCCAAUUAUUGUUUUUUAAGUCAAUAAAGACAUAUGCUAUACAACCACUACACCUUAGAAAAUUAACUGUUCAAAUAAACAUUUAAAAGCUCAAAUACAAGGACAUUCAUGCCCAUUAUGAGUGUAUUGACCCUUCUGACCACAUCUGUACAUCAACUUCAUUUUGAGUUUAAAAUAUGUCGAAAUGAAGGUUUUUGACAUCGCAGUGUUAAAUUGUCUCCAGUGAUAUCAUACUCCAUAACCCUAACCAAGUGCGAGUGUCUGUGAAGAAGCCAGCUGGAAUGGUUUGGGGAAUGGCAUGUUCCUGGUUGCCUUUGGGCUUCUGUGGCAAAGAACUCAUCCAGUGUGCUGCUGGCAUAAGUGAUCAAGUCAAAUAUAACCUCUGCCUGAUUUCCACAGUCCAGAGAGGAAUGUAGGACCAGUGUGGUCACAAGAGACCAGUUUAACAUGUCAGACUGUACGAGGUUAAGGAGUAUGUGUCUCAAAAGAGUGAUUCCAAAAUCUAAUCAUGCAAUUUUAUGCAUUUUUUUUUGUCUUUGUUCUUUAUUUGCUCUGUAAGUGAAGGGUUGGAACCUCUUAAGUGUCAUUAUGUUGUUUGUGUAUUAAUGCCACAUGACAUUAUGGAAAAAGUCUAAUAAAAUGUUGAAGUUU